Carassius auratus (goldfish) is the source of this 1671-nucleotide long non-coding RNA. The record is from Ensembl. Lineage: Eukaryota; Metazoa; Chordata; Actinopteri; Cypriniformes; Cyprinidae.
CCAUGACAAUAUCCUUUUCAUCUUCAGGGACCUUUUUGUCUGAUUUAAACGUCUGCUUACAGCGAAGAAAUGAAACGCACAUCUAAGGCAAGUCCUAAAAGUUUUGUGAAAUGUGCUGACCCGUGCCCAAGAUAUUUGUCGCCGGGUGACACUCACGAGAUGUGUGUGUACUGUUUGGGUGAAGAGCACGCACAGGAUGCUCUUGAGGGAGCAUCCUGUGCAUAUUGUGAGCGUUUUCCUAUGAGAACGCUCCGGUCUCGUCGGGCUCUCUUCUCGAGGGAAGAGAGUUCAGCGUCUGGUCCUCGCGGAUCAGGUCCCGCUCGUGCCGAGGCAGAGCGGCGACGCGCUUCAUGGGGCUCCCAGAUGGAGCUCGCUGACAGUCUCGAGAGGGGCGUUAACCUCUCGGACGCGUCAUCGGCUGACGAGAGUGAGCUGCAGGUGGAUGACGGAGACUUUUCUCCUACUAAUACUGCAGCGAGUGCUCUUCAGGCCGGGCAAGAGAUGGCUGAGGAGGAUGAUUUAGAUCCUCAACCUCGUCAGCCAUCCUGCCCCGUGUACGCAGAGCUGGUGGAAGUUAUGGAGCGCGCCACUGACAAAUUUCAGUUGCCAUGGCGGCGCGCUCAGGGAGAGAUCGUUCACAGUUGUUUGGAUGAUCGGUUUCUCCCUGAACAUAGACCACCAGCUCAGCAGAGCCUUCCAUUCCUUCCUGAUCUCCAUUCAGAGAUCGAGAGGGCAUGGAAGAAACCGUACUCUGCCCGUAUUCAUCGACAUCAGCGGGGCAACUUCGCUGAUGUUGAGGGGAUCGGUGAGUACGGUUAUGUGUCCAUGCCGCCCGAUGAAGAGACGUUUGCGAAUUAUCUUGUUUCUGGGCAGGUGUCGACACUAAAAGCUCCGACUCUGCCAUCCAAGCCCCUUAAAGCCACGGCUCGCUUGAAUGGCAGAGCGUACACGGCAGCAGGUCAGGCUGGUGCUGCCCUUCAUACCAUGGCAGUGCUCCAAGCCUACCAAGCUGACCUGCUGCAGGAUCUUGACCAGGGGGCAGGGCUGUCCCCUGAGGCAGUCGCUGAGUUGCGCCGGACCACAGAUUUGUCCCUCCGGGCCACUAAACAGACUGCUGCCGCGAUCGGCCGAUCGAUGGCGGCGAUGGUGGCCACAGAGAGACAUCUGUUGAUAUCUGCUGAUAUCGGGGAGAAAGAAAAAUCCCUUCUCCUUGAUUCACCAGUUUCGCCUGCUAAACUUUUUGGCACCUCCGUUGAGGCGGUGGUUGGAAAGUUUAGGGAGGCGAAGGCGCGCUCAGCUGCAUUUAAGACCUGUAUACCUCUGAGAUCCGGGCCCCAGCCCAGGCAGGCGGGAGGACCUGGUCCGUCUUGGUCUGAGGACCGUAGGCAGGACCAGAGGUCUAGUGUCGCCUCUCGUGCCCCCCCUCCAUGGAGGAGUAGGACACAGAGGAGGCGGGCCUCCCGCAAAAAGAGGGACUUAAGGGAGGUCAUUCAGCACAAGCGCUGCAACACUCAGCGGAAAUAGGGUUUGAUCUCCCUGGAGGGCCUUUUCUACCAGCCCUCUCCCUCUUCUUGACUCCCCAGGCGUUUACGUUACACCAGCCCUGGGAAUGGGCCUUAUGAUGAGAACUAUGUUCUGAUGGCCCACCAUAGCAACUGGUUGAUGUGAGCG